UAACUGGGAUUGGCAACGGGAUCACGUGAGCGCAUCAUUUGUGUGUAAAAACUUUUUGCAGUCUCUGUUAUGAUUUUCAAGAUGGCGGCUGUCAAUGUCUGGAGUAUGAAGUUGCUCUUUUCUCUUUUAAAAAUGUAUUUAGCUUUAUGAAAAAUCUACUGCAAAGUUAUAAUGGCGGCUUUAAGGUUCUGAUCGGUUAUUGUAAGUUAAUAUUUGUUUUAAAUUGUUUAAAUCUUCAAUUUGCGGCUAAAAUUCCAUUUGCGUACCUCUGUAGCCCAAAUAUUUGUUUCUGCAACUUCUCUUGUUUCUCCAGAGUGUUCUUUAGGAAAUAUUCAAGAAAAACCAGUUUGCCAUGGUAUGACCUUUGCGUACCUCUCAGGAGAAUAGACUAAAUUCUAUUGCUAUGAAACUACAAUAAAGAGACUCUUUACAUGUUUUUACAUUGUUUAAAGUUGUUUUUAAAUUUUCCUUGUUGCUGGUUUUUUAGUUAUAACAAUUUACAUUCAGCCA
Long non-coding RNA from Amphimedon queenslandica, 510 nucleotides. RefSeq lists it as uncharacterized. NCBI's taxonomy places the organism in Eukaryota, Metazoa, Porifera, Demospongiae, Haplosclerida, Niphatidae. The transcript has 2 exons. The record is from RefSeq and is a predicted model, not a curated record.